UUGAUGAGAGUUUGAUCCUGGCUCAGGACGAACGCUGGCGGCGUGCCUAAUACAUGCAAGUAGAACGCCAAGACUUUGUACUUGUACAGAGUUGAGGAGUUGCGAACGGGUGAGUAACGCGUAGGUAACCUGCCUGGUAGCGGGGGAUAACUAUUGGAAACGAUAGCUAAUACCGCAUAACAGUGUUUACUGCAUGGUAAACAUUUAAAAGGUGCAACUGCACCACUACCAGAUGGACCUGCGUUGUAUUAGCUAGUAGGUAAGGUAACGGCUUACCUAGGCGACGAUACAUAGCCGACCUGAGAGGGUGAUCGGCCACACUGGGACUGAGACACGGCCCAGACUCCUACGGGAGGCAGCAGUAGGGAAUCUUCGGCAAUGGGGGGAACCCUGACCGAGCAACGCCGCGUGAGUGAAGAAGGUUUUCGGAUCGUAAAGCUCUGUUGUAAGAGAAGAACGUUAGCGGGAGUGGAAAAUCCGCUAAGUGACGGUACCUUACCAGAAAGGGACGGCUAACUACGUGCCAGCAGCCGCGGUAAUACGUAGGUCCCGAGCGUUGUCCGGAUUUAUUGGGCGUAAAGCGAGCGCAGGCGGUUUGAUAAGUCAGAAGUAAAAGGCUGUGGCUCAACCAUAGUACGCUUUUGAAACUGUCAAACUUGAGUGCAGAAGGGGGGAGUGGAAUUCCAUGUGUAGCGGUGAAAUGCGUAGAUAUAUGGAGGAACACCGGUGGCGAAAGCGGCUCUCUGGUCUGUAACUGACGCUGAGGCUCGAAAGCGUGGGGAGCGAACAGGAUUAGAUACCCUGGUAGUCCACGCCGUAAACGAUGAGUGCUAGGUGUUGGGUCCUUUCCGGGACUCAGUGCCGCAGCUAACGCAUUAAGCACUCCGCCUGGGGAGUACGACCGCAAGGUUGAAACUCAAAGGAAUUGACGGGGGCCCGCACAAGCGGUGGAGCAUGUGGUUUAAUUCGAAGCAACGCGAAGAACCUUACCAGGUCUUGACAUCCCUCUGACCGCCCUAGAGAUAGGGUUUCUCUUUUGAGCAGAGGAGACAGGUGGUGCAUGGUUGUCGUCAGCUCGUGUCGUGAGAUGUUGGGUUAAGUCCCGCAACGAGCGCAACCCCUAUUGUUAGUUGCCAUCAUUGAGUUGGGCACUCUAGCGAGACUGCCGGUAAUAAACCGGAGGAAGGUGGGGAUGACGUCAAAUCAUCAUGCCCCUUAUGACCUGGGCUACACACGUGCUACAAUGGCUGGUACAACGAGUCGCAAGUCGGUGACGGCAAGCUAAUCUCUUAAAGCCAGUCUCAGUUCGGAUUGUAGGCUGCAACUCGCCUACAUGAAGUCGGAAUCGCUAGUAAUCGCGGAUCAGCACGCCGCGGUGAAUACGUUCCCGGGCCUUGUACACACCGCCCGUCACACCACGAGAGUUUGUAACACCCGAAGUCGGUGAGGUAACCGCAAGGAGCCAGCCGCCUAAGGUGGGAUAGAUGAUUGGGGUGAAGUCGUAACAAGGUAGCCGUAUCGGAAGGUGCGGCUGGAUCACCUCCUUUCUAAGGAA
RNAcentral lists this ribosomal RNA (1555 nucleotides) under Streptococcus acidominimus. RNAcentral's name for it is "bacterial SSU rRNA". It matches the Rfam family "Bacterial small subunit ribosomal RNA". The record is from RNAcentral. Lineage: Bacteria; Bacillati; Bacillota; Bacilli; Lactobacillales; Streptococcaceae.